Molecule: ribosomal RNA, 301 nt
Filed under: uncultured bacterium
Lineage: Bacteria
Description: partial 16S ribosomal RNA
Rfam family: Bacterial small subunit ribosomal RNA
Source: RNAcentral
CAGCAGCCACGGUAAUACGUAGGUGGCAAGCGUUGUCCGGAAUUAUUGGGCGUAAAGGGCUCGCAGGCGGUUUCUUAAGUCUGAUGUGAAAGCCCCCGGCUCAACCGGGGAGGGUCAUUGGAAACUGGGAAACUUGAGAGCAGAAGAGGAGAGUGGAAUUCCACGUGUAGCGGUGAAAUGCGUAGAGAUGUGGAGGAACACCAGUGGCGAAGGCGACUCUCUGGUCUGUAACUGACGCUGAGGAGCGAAAGCGUGGGGAGCGAACAGGAUUAGAUACCCCGGUAGUCCCUGUCUCUUAUAC